Molecule: ribosomal RNA, 138 nt
Filed under: uncultured bacterium
Lineage: Bacteria
Description: partial 16S ribosomal RNA
Rfam family: Bacterial small subunit ribosomal RNA
Source: RNAcentral
UGGGGAAUAUUGCACAAUGGGGGAAACCCGUGAUGCAGCGACGCCGCGUGAGCGAAGAAGUAUUUCGGUAUGUAAAGCUCUAUCAGCAGGGAAGAAAUUGACGGUACCUGAGUAAGAAGCUCCGGCUAAAUACGUGCC